Molecule: long non-coding RNA, 206 nt
Filed under: Mytilus galloprovincialis (Mediterranean mussel)
Lineage: Eukaryota; Metazoa; Mollusca; Bivalvia; Mytilida; Mytilidae
Source: RNAcentral
UUUGCUCUUGUUGUCUAAGUCCGUUCUUGAAAGUGCAUCAUUUAUGUCAUGUUGACGUUUGGCCUUGUUUCUCCAUUAAAGCAUGUUUAUUAAUCAUGGUAACUUUAUCAUACUGACAAUUCAGAAAGCUAAUUUGAACUGGUGACUUGCCAUCAUUGUCACAUAUAUUAUAGUCGGCUCCUCUAUCUAGCAUCAUUUUAACUAUU